RNAcentral lists this ribosomal RNA (252 nucleotides) under uncultured bacterium. Its description in RNAcentral is "partial 16S ribosomal RNA". It matches the Rfam family "Bacterial small subunit ribosomal RNA", at positions 105 to 353 of the family's 1533-position model. The record is from RNAcentral.
GGUGAGUAACGCGUGGGUAACCUGCCUCAUACAGGGGGAGUAACAAUUAGAAAUGACUGCUAAUAACCGCAUAAGCGCACAGUGCUGCAUGGCACAGUGUGAAAAACUCCGGUGGUAUGAGAUGGACCCGCGUCUGAUUAGCUAGUUGGUGGGGUAACGGCCUACCAAGGCGACGAUCAGUAGCCGGCCUGAGAGGGUGAACGGCCACAUUGGGACUGAGACACGGCCCAAACUCCUACGGGAGGCAGCAUG